This 920-nucleotide long non-coding RNA is filed under the name Nicotiana benthamiana. RNAcentral describes it as "long non-coding RNA (NBEN_LNC013855)". The record is from RNAcentral. Lineage: Eukaryota; Viridiplantae; Streptophyta; Magnoliopsida; Solanales; Solanaceae.
GAGGAGUAAUUCAACAACUCAAGGGAGCAACAACAACUCAACGGGGAGCAGGCAUCUCAAGUUAUAUGAAAGGGAAGCAUACUUGUUUACUCUCUCUUUAGUGUCAUCAUCAAAAAAUGGAAGAUUAUUACAUCUAAGUUUCAAUAAUGACUGCAAAGCUAAAUCCUAUCUACUUUGAUUGCAGGAACCAAGGCACCACCAAGGGCAUCAACAAAUAGGAAAUAAGAUCAAAUAUUUAAUAAUGCUAAAUCAAAGGAAGUCAAGCCAUCAAAAAGGAAGUCAAGAUCUGAUGAUGCUAAAUCAAAGGAAGUCAAGCCAUCAAAAAGGAAACCAAAUCAGUCUCGCUAUCUUAGUGAAACUGUCUAACAAGGAAGCAUAUCACGUGUAGCUCGAAAAUAUCGGGCAUCUUCUCCAAGGCUAUAUUAGAAGGCUGACCAACCAAAUUGAAGCCUCAAAUCACUCCAUGAAAUGAAUACAUAAAAAGGAAAGACAUAAACGAAUCUAACCCAUCUGUAAUGCAGGAUUCGCAGGCACCUCUUGGGUCAAAUAUCUCAGAGGAUUCAGUGCAUCAAUCAAGAUCAAUCUGCAAUGGUCCUCAAACUCUCGUAUAAGAAGAUUGCCAAUUUCAAGAAGAAGAGUCAUGAAACUACAAACAUUGUCUUCUAAGUCUCUCUAGUUCUUAGCACAAACACUGUAUUCUUGAGUUUACAAGUAUUACAGAAGAUAGGAAGAGUUAGAACACAAAAAAGAGUUACGUCAACAUCCAGAAAUUACUGUUGCUAAUCAUCGUUGGUGGUGAACGAACUAACUAUCACUGUUGUAAUUUUUUAUCAAGAUCUAAGAGAACCUUUGUGAUCCAAGGGAAACUGGACAUAAGUACCACACCAGUACUGAACCAAUAUAAAAAUUGUUGUGUCUUG